This 274-nucleotide ribosomal RNA is filed under the name uncultured bacterium. RNAcentral describes it as "partial 16S ribosomal RNA". It matches the Rfam family "Bacterial small subunit ribosomal RNA", at positions 523 to 796 of the family's 1533-position model. The record is from RNAcentral.
AUACGGAGGGUGCAAGCGUUAAGCGGAAUUACUGGGCGUAAAGGGCGCGUAGGCGGUCUAUCAAGUCAGGUAUGAAAUCCCACGGCUCAACCGUGGAGGUGCAUCUGAAACUGAUAGACUUGAGUAUGGGAGAGGAAAGUGGAAUUCCCGGUGUAGAGGUGAAAUUCGUAGAUAUCGGGAGGAACACCAGUGGCGAAGGCGACUUUCUGGACCAAUACUGACGCUGAGGCGCGAAAGCGUGGGGAGCAAACAGGAUUAGAUACCCUUGUAGUCC